This 229-nucleotide ribosomal RNA is filed under the name uncultured bacterium. Its description in RNAcentral is "partial 16S ribosomal RNA". It matches the Rfam family "Bacterial small subunit ribosomal RNA", at positions 568 to 796 of the family's 1533-position model. The record is from RNAcentral.
UGCGUAGGCGGAAUUUUAAGUCAGUGGUGAAAUCCUGCAGCUCAACUGUAGAACUGCCAUUGAUACUGAUCUUCUUGAAUUUAGUUGAGGUGGGCGGAACGUGUAAUGUAGCGGUGAAAUGCUUAGAUAUUACACAGAACACCGAUUGCGAAGGCAGCUCACUAAACUAACAUUGACGCCGAGGCACGAAAGCGUGGGUAGCGAACAGGAUUAGAUACCCUGGUAGUCC